RNAcentral lists this ribosomal RNA (246 nucleotides) under uncultured bacterium. RNAcentral's name for it is "partial 16S ribosomal RNA". It matches the Rfam family "Bacterial small subunit ribosomal RNA", at positions 15 to 252 of the family's 1533-position model. The record is from RNAcentral.
GAUCCUGGCUCAGGAUGAACGCUAGCUACAGGCUUAACACAUGCAAGUCGAGGGGCAGCAUUUUAGUUUGCUUGCAAACUGAAGAUGGCGACCGGCGCACGGGUGAGUAACACGUAUCCAACCUGCCGAUAACUCCGGGAUAGCCUUUCGAAAGAAAGAUUAAUACCGGAUAGCAUACGAAUAUCGCUAUGAUAUUUUUAUUAAAGAAUUUCGGUUAGUCGAUGGGGAUGCGUUCCAGUUAGUUUG